GCUGGACCUCUCGGGGUUACAGCCUUGCUGAAUUAUUCACCCUUGUCUUUUGCGUACUUCUUGUUUCCUUGGUGGGUUCGCCCACCACUAGGACAAACAUAAACCUUUUGUAAUUGCAAUCAGCGUCAGUAACAAAUUAAUAAUUACAACUUUCAACAACGGAUCUCUUGGUUCUGGCAUCGAUGAAGAACGCAGCGAAAUGCGAUAAGUAGUGUGAAUUGCAGAAUUCAGUGAAUCAUCGAAUCUUUGAACGCACAUUGCGCCCUUUGGUAUUCCAAAGGGCAUGCCUGUUCGAGCGUCAUUUGUACCCUCAAGCUUUGCUUGGUGUUGGGCGUCUUGUCUCUAGCUUUGCUGGAGACUCGCCUUAAAGUAAUUGGCAGCCGGCCUACUGGUUUCGGAGCGCAGCACAAGUCGCACUCUCUAUCAGCAAAGGUCUAGCAUCCAUUAAGCCUUUUUUUCAACUUUUGACCUCGGAUCAGGUAGGGAUACCCGCUGAACUUAAGCAUAUC
This 509-nucleotide unclassified non-coding RNA is filed under the name Alternaria alternata. RNAcentral's name for it is "sequence contains ITS1, 5.8S rRNA gene". The stretch from base 148 to 301 matches the Rfam family "5.8S ribosomal RNA". Lineage: Eukaryota; Fungi; Ascomycota; Dothideomycetes; Pleosporales; Pleosporaceae. The record is from RNAcentral.